CAAGAAUCUACAGGUCGAGCAAGUCUCGUAAAUUUCACGAUUGCGAGCCACGCUUCACGCAACCGUGUUUGCGUACUUGUGUUUCGAGUUGCGUGGUCGUGCGGAGUUAUAUUUACCAAAUUUAAAUGUUUCUACUUCUUCUCUUCAUUUGAAUGGCCUUAGCUGCCAGGGCUAUCCGGCCAGAAAAUGUUUCUACUGAUUCAUACGCUGUCAAAAUUAAAUCAAUAUGGCUACUGGGUGUAAAAGAUAAAUCAAAAUCUUCUAUCUGUUCUUAAUGAGUUUUAGAUAAUUUUAGUUGUAUUUCUUUGUAAUUUUGUGUUGUACAAAGAUUAAUUUAACAUUUUCUCUGGAAGUAUUAAUUUAGAAAGAUAAUUAUGCUUCAUUGGUGUUGUGUUUUGAAGUGUGAAAUGCAAAGUAAUUGUGAGAAAGUUCACUUUUAAACUGAACUAAAUAAGGUAUCUGAGAGACAACAAUGGUUAAAUGCAAUACAAUGUACAGGUUUUACUAGCGAAAUGAAAAUUUUCCUGUCCUGUCUGCUGUAAUCAUUUUAUAUCUGGAAAACCAGCCGACUUAAUCGAUAAUAACAAUCUCCAGAUUGGGUUCCUUCAAUAAAUAUGGGCUAUUAACACAAUGAAAUAAGUUCCAGAAAAUCUAAAAUGGAGUGGUAUCAAAGGAGAAUUAAAGGAAAAAAUAUUCAUAUUGAAAUUAUUUAUAAGGCACUGGACUGUCUUAAAUUCUACAAUAAUACUAGAAUCAGCUGAGAGAAGUGGUCUACAAAAAACCAGGAAGGAAACGGAAUAUGUGGCUACGAAAGGCAAAAGAAAGGUUUACAAAGCAAAUGUGACACAUUUUUUUGAAAUAUUUAGGAAUAUCAGUAAAUUGCAUUAAAAAAAUGUAUGAAAAGAUUUUGUUCAAUAAAAAUGUUUAUAUUUAUCAAGGAUGUAUUAUUUGGUAUG
Diabrotica virgifera virgifera (western corn rootworm) is the source of this 956-nucleotide long non-coding RNA. RefSeq lists it as uncharacterized. The record is from RefSeq and is a predicted model, not a curated record. The transcript has 3 exons. NCBI's taxonomy places the organism in Eukaryota, Metazoa, Arthropoda, Insecta, Coleoptera, Chrysomelidae.